CCCUUAGAUGUUCUGGGCUGCACGCGUGCUACACUGAUUAUUUCAACAAGUGUUUUAACUGGAGAGUUCGCGUAAUCCUGAAAUGUUAUCGUGAUGGGAGUAGAGUAUUGUAUUUGUUAAUCUUUAACGAGGAAUUCCUAGUAAGUGUAGGUUUAUAAGUUGUUCUGAUUACGUCCCUGCCCUUUGUACACACCGCCCGUCACUCCUACCGAUUGAUUGAUCCGGUGAAUAAUUCAGACUGCAGCAGCAUCCAGUUCCUGGAAGUUGUAGCGGAAAGUUUCGUGAACCUUAUCACUUAGAGGAAGGAGAAGUCGUAACA
Molecule: ribosomal RNA, 319 nt
Filed under: uncultured eukaryote
Lineage: Eukaryota
Description: partial 18S ribosomal RNA
Rfam family: Eukaryotic small subunit ribosomal RNA
Source: RNAcentral